Long non-coding RNA from Ctenopharyngodon idella (grass carp), 619 nucleotides. RefSeq lists it as uncharacterized. Lineage: Eukaryota; Metazoa; Chordata; Actinopteri; Cypriniformes; Xenocyprididae. The transcript has 7 exons. The record is from RefSeq and is a predicted model, not a curated record.
CUUCUCUCCAUCAAACCCAAAGUUUAUAAACAAGAUGCAGCAGUACUUCUACAUUUGAUCCUUAAAAAGACUCCUGGAUCCUCUGAGCUUUUUAAGGGCACUAUAAAGAUGACAAGAACAUGGAGGUCAUGCAGAGACAAACCAGAACAAAUCUCUGAGGAUUUCCUCUCAUUGAUAGUCUCUAUUCAAAACUCUCAGGAUGUGGAAGAUGCUUUACAGGCAUAUGCUUGUGGAAAUAAGACUGUGGGAUCAGUGUACUGUGAUCACUGUAGGAAAAUGAUAGUCAUUGAAACUAAAACAGAGAUGAAUGAGUUUCCAGAACACUUAAUUGUUGAGUUGAAGAGAUCUGAUUCAUACAGCACAAAUAGGUUAAGCUUCAGUAAAAAUGAAGUGAUCAUUCGUCCUCAUAUCAAGGUUUCCUCCCACAAGUAUGAGCUUUAUGUCGUAGUAAACUAUGAUUGUGGACGUUAUAAUGCAGACAUCAAAUGUGAAGAUGAAAUCUGGCGUCGAUUUAAUGACUCCAAUGAAUUCGAGAGUUCUUUGAACAGUGACUUCAGAAAGGACUCUAAACUCAGGAGUUCAGAUGCCUGUUUACUCGUGUACAGACGCAGAGAGCAAA